Molecule: ribosomal RNA, 1441 nt
Filed under: uncultured organism
Description: SSU rRNA
Rfam family: Bacterial small subunit ribosomal RNA
Source: RNAcentral
UACAGGCUUAACACAUGCAAGUCGAGGGGCAUCAGGAAGAAAGCUUGCUUUCUUUGCUGGCGACCGGCGCACGGGUGAGUAACACGUAUCCAACCUGCCCUUUACUCGGGGAUAGCCUUUCGAAAGAAAGAUUAAUACCCGAUAGCAUAAUGAUUCCGCAUGGUUUCAUUAUUAAAGGAUUCCGGUAAAGGAUGGGGAUGCGUUCCAUUAGGUUGUUGGCGGGGUAACGGCCCACCAAGCCUUCGAUGGAUAGGGGUUCUGAGAGGAAGGUCCCCCACAUUGGAACUGAGACACGGUCCAAACUCCUACGGGAGGCAGCAGUGAGGAAUAUUGGUCAAUGGACGAGAGUCUGAACCAGCCAAGUAGCGUGAAGGAUGACUGCCCUAUGGGUUGUAAACUUCUUUUAUACGGGAAUAAAGUGAGGCACGUGUGCCUUUUUGUAUGUACCGUAUGAAUAAGGAUCGGCUAACUCCGUGCCAGCAGCCGCGGUAAUACGGAGGAUCCGAGCGUUAUCCGGAUUUAUUGGGUUUAAAGGGAGCGUAGGCGGACGCUUAAGUCAGUUGUGAAAGUUUGCGGCUCAACCGUAAAAUUGCAGUUGAUACUGGGUGUCUUGAGUACAGUAGAGGCAGGCGGAAUUCGUGGUGUAGCGGUGAAAUGCUUAGAUAUCACGAAGAACUCCGAUUGCGAAGGCAGCUUGCUGGACUGUAACUGACGCUGAUGCUCGAAAGUGUGGGUAUCAAACAGGAUUAGAUACCCUGGUAGUCCACACAGUAAACGAUGAAUACUCGCUGUUUGCGAUAUACAGUAAGCGGCCAAGCGAAAGCGUUAAGUAUUCCACCUGGGGAGUACGCCGGCAACGGUGAAACUCAAAGGAAUUGACGGGGGCCCGCACAAGCGGAGGAACAUGUGGUUUAAUUCGAUGAUACGCGAGGAACCUUACCCGGGCUUGAAUUGCAACUGAAUGAUGUGGAGACAUGUCAGCCGCAAGGCAGUUGUGAAGGUGCUGCAUGGUUGUCGUCAGCUCGUGCCGUGAGGUGUCGGCUUAAGUGCCAUAACGAGCGCAACCCUUAUCGAUAGUUACCAUCAGGUUAUGCUGGGGACUCUGUCGAGACUGCCGUCGUAAGAUGUGAGGAAGGUGGGGAUGACGUCAAAUCAGCACGGCCCUUACGUCCGGGGCUACACACGUGUUACAAUGGGGGGUACAGAAGGCAGCUACACGGCGACGUGAUGCUAAUCCCUAAAGCCUCUCUCAGUUCGGAUUGGAGUCUGCAACCCGACUCCAUGAAGCUGGAUUCGCUAGUAAUCGCGCAUCAGCCACGGCGCGGUGAAUACGUUCCCGGGCCUUGUACACACCGCCCGUCAAGCCAUGAAAGCCGGGGGUACCUGAAGUGCGUAACCGCAAGGAGCGCCCUAGGGUAAAACUGGUGAUUGGGGCUAAGUC